UGGCGCAGUGGCUCUUCUAUUCUGCGAACAAGUAUCUCGCCUUUUACUAGAUACUUCCGUGGGAGGGCCACAAUGAAACGCGUCUACGUGAAUUUUUGGAAACCACUCCUUGCUCGUU
Molecule: small nuclear RNA, 118 nt
Filed under: Linderina pennispora
Lineage: Eukaryota; Fungi; Kickxellomycota; Kickxellomycetes; Kickxellales; Kickxellaceae
Description: U5 spliceosomal RNA
Rfam family: U5 spliceosomal RNA
About the family: U5 RNA is a component of both types of known spliceosome. The precise function of this molecule is unknown, though it is known that the 5' loop is required for splice site selection and p220 binding, and that both the 3' stem-loop and the Sm site are important for Sm protein binding and cap methylation.
Source: Rfam by way of RNAcentral